RNAcentral lists this ribosomal RNA (253 nucleotides) under uncultured bacterium. RNAcentral's name for it is "partial 16S ribosomal RNA". It matches the Rfam family "Bacterial small subunit ribosomal RNA", at positions 524 to 776 of the family's 1533-position model. The record is from RNAcentral.
UACGAAGGGGGCUAGCGUUGCUCGGAAUCACUGGGCGUAAAGGGUGCGUAGGCGGGUCUUUAAGUCAGAGGGGAAAUCCUGGAGCUCAACUCCAGAACUGCCUUUGAUACUGAGGAUCUUGAGUUCGGGAGAGGUGAGUGGAACUGCGAGUGUAGUGGUGAAAUUCGUAGAUAUUCGCAAGAACACCAGUGGCGAAGGCGGCUCACUGGUCCGGUACUGACGCUGAGGUGCGAAAGCGUGGGGAGCAAACAGG